AUAGGAUGGACAUGCGUCGCAUUAGGUAGACGGCGGGGUAACGGCCCACCGUGCCGACGAUGCGUAGGGGUUCUGAGAGGAAGGCCCCCCACACUGGUACUGAGACACGGACCAGACUCCUACGGGAGGCAGCAGUGAGGAAUAUUGGUCAAUGGCCGAGAGGCUGAACCAGCCAAGUCGCGUGAGGGAAGAAUGUCCUAAGGAUUGUAAACCUCUUUUGUCGGGGAGCAAAAAGGCUCUGCGGAGUCGUAUUGAGAGUACCCGAAGAAAAAGCAUCGGCUAACUCCGUGCCAGCAGCCGCGGUAAUACGGAGGAUGCGAGCGUUAUCCGGAUUUAUUGGGUUUAAAGGGUGCGCAGGCGGCGUGUCAAGCAAGCGGUAAAAUAGCGGGGCUCAACCCCGUCGAGCCGUUUGAACUGGCGCGCUUGAGUUCAGGCGAGGUAGGCGGAAUUCGUGGUGUAGCGGUGAAAUGCAUAGAUAUCACGAAGAACUCCGAUUGCGAAGGCAGCUUACCAGUCUGCGACUGACGCUCAGGCACGAAAGUGUGGGUAUCGAACAGGAUUAGAUACCCUGGUAGUCCACACAGUAAACGAUGAGCGCUAGGUGUCCGGGUCGCAUGAGACUUGG
Molecule: ribosomal RNA, 625 nt
Filed under: uncultured bacterium
Lineage: Bacteria
Description: bacterial SSU rRNA
Rfam family: Bacterial small subunit ribosomal RNA
Source: RNAcentral